This 3159-nucleotide unclassified non-coding RNA is filed under the name Hevea brasiliensis (rubber tree). Lineage: Eukaryota; Viridiplantae; Streptophyta; Magnoliopsida; Malpighiales; Euphorbiaceae. The record is from RNAcentral.
GUAGAAACUAGGACCAUUUAUGAGACCAAACGCUCUCAAACAUCUACCUACGCGAAAUCGAUUCGCAGAGAGAAUCAAACAGCAAAUUCAUCUUGAAAGUUCUUUUGCUGUUUCUCGUCAAAAACAACCAAGAGCAUUCUUCAAUGGACGGUAACAUCCAACCACCGACGGAAUCGAAUCCCGAGACUGAUGAUCAAACUAUCGAAAUCGAUCCUUCAAGCACGGUUCUCGAUCUCACCAGCUUCCAGCUCCACAAUCUCGACUCAGUCGAGUUAUCUCAGGGUCUUACUGAGUUGGAUUUGACCGCGAAUCGCUUAUCGAGUCUCGACCCUAGAAUUGCGUUUCUCUCGAACCUGAAAAAGAUCUCUUUUCGACAAAACCUCAUCGAUGACGCUGCCAUCGAGCCCUUCUCCGGCUGGGAAGCGUUAUCAGGCCUCGAGGAACUGGUGCUGAGGGAUAAUAAACUUACGAAAAUACCUGAUGUUAGCAUAUUCAAGAGUCUCUUGGUUUUUGAUGUUUCUUUCAAUGAAAUCGGGUCCUUGCAUGGAUUGUCCAACGUCUCCAAUACUCUGAAGGAACUCUAUGUAUCAAAAAAUGAAGUUACUAAGAUGGAGGAGAUUGACCAUCUUUAUCAGUUGCAAAUUCUGGAACUUGGUUCCAACAGAUUAAGGGUCAGCAGUCCAAUGUGUUACAAAUUGGGGGCACAAGCUUCUUUCUGUCCAAUUGUCUACUUCUCUUGUUUGGUUGCCAACAGCCAAGUGUCCUAUUACAAUUGUCCACAUCUUUCUGUCGUAUUAUUUGUUUGCACGUGGUUAUGUGAGACACGCAUACACAUGCUAUACCCUCAUGCAAUUGUGUCUAUGCCAAUGGAAAAGUGGGAGAUAAAUGAAUCACAUAUGGAUUUAUAGUUUUGGAAUUAGAAUUUUGUUGGAGAAUGGUCUUAAUCCAAGAGCAAUUACUUUGGUGUUUCAGGUAAUGGAGAAUCUGCAUAAUUUAACAAACUUACAGGAGCUGUGGCUGGGACGGAAUCGUGUCAAAACAGUUAAUCUAUGUGGUCUGAAAUGCAUCAAGAAGCUUAGCUUGCAAAGCAAUCGUUUAACAUCUAUGAAAGGAUUUGAGGAAUGCGUUGCUUUAGAAGAACUUUAUUUGAGUCAUAAUGGUAUCACCAAAAUGGAAGGCCUAUCAACCUUGGUCAACCUCAGUGUAUUGGAUGUAUCAUCUAACAAGCUAACUUCAAUUGAUGACAUUCAGAACCUGACCCGGUUAGAAGAUCUAUGGCUUAAUGACAACCAAAUAGAAUCACUUGAACGCAUUGCUGAGGCCAUUGCUGGUUCCAGACAGAAAUUAACCACAAUCUACUUUGAAAAUAAUCCAUGUGUAUGAAAUCUGCAAUUUCAAGAACCUAAAUUGUUCAGAGCCUCACUAUUGCAUUAUGCCCACAUUCUAAACCAUAGCUUAUUUAUCAUUUCCAUGAUUAUUAAUACAUUAGGGAUUUUUCAUCUUGCUUAUUUUGUUCUUUUACUGGCAAUCAUACUCAAAUAGUGAAAGCAAUAUAACCUGAUCUUGUUUAUCAUAAAUAUUUAUUGAAGGUCAUAACAUGCAAAAGCUUGAUAGCAAUGUUCUAUCAUGGUUCCUCUGAUGGAAUUCUCGUUUAGUUUCAUGCUUGUCACCUGAAUAAUACUUUGUUCGAUGUCUGAAAUCCUGAACCCUGUUUCAAGCCUGUUAAUUUUCCUGGAUCCUGGAUUCUUUUUAACAUGUCUUUUGAUAUAUAUCGUUAGACAGCACAUAUAUGAUAAUAGAGUAAUUUGCAGACUUUUAUAUUGGUGAUUGUGUAUAUUCAUGUGUGUGUUUAGUAGUUUUUAACCUCAUGAAAAUUUUCUGGUAAAUUCACACUUAGUAGAGCCUACAAAAAACAUGUGAGACCAGCUGGGUGUUCUAAUCAUUUCUCUUUGGGCAAUUUUGUCGAAGGGAGGGAAAAAAUUUUAGUUAUCCCAUAGAACUAGAAAACCUUGCAUUGAGGCAUCAGACAUUGAAACCUUCUUGUGUCCUGUUUUCUGAUAAAAGCAUGUCCAUAAUCUGCACUAAAUGCUGGUCCACAGAAAUGAGUACUUUUUCUUUCCUUGCAUAUUAUUGAUCGCAUAGAUCAACAAAGGUUAAUACUUUUUCUUUAGUUGCAUAUAAUUGAUAUCUUAGGUUGGUGUCAAUUGAAAGGAAGAAUCUGAAGUCGUGAUGGUUUCUCUUAAUUUGUCUGCCUUUAUCACUCAUAGGAAAUAUCGAUUUCAAUAAACUAAACUAAAACACUUGUAUUCUAUGGCAGUACUCAUUCACUUCAAUUAAUGAUAAAAAUCAUACAUAUUGUUUGAUGUGCUAACAUGUUUAUUCAAUUGCUUGAAAAUGGAAAACUAUUUUACUCAUGCACUUCAAAUGAUGAUAAUAAUCAUGAUAAUGUUUUGAUGUUGUUAUUGUUGCUUUGGAGCUUUCCUAUCUUUGAUUCUCCUUUUAUUGCAGGCAAGAUCUCCAAACUAUGCUGUCACUCUCAGACAGAUUUUUCCUAACAUUCAGCAAAUUGAUUCCAAUGUAUUUGCUUAGAAGUUCAUUGUUCCAAGUUUCUUUUGUCAGGACAGUAGUAUCCAGGAAGUUGAAACUCUCCACUAGUGGUACUUCCUAGUCGUGUUCCUUUUCUCGUUGAUUGAACUAACAGAACAUUGCCUUUAAUGUGUUCUCACCAAACUGGUAUGCAGAUCAAAUUGUGGUAUGAGACUGUAAGUCCACCAUUGAUACAAAAAGCUAUCUAUUGGCUUCAACUGGGGAUGCAAGUUGCAAGUUUUCAACAGCCCUAAGGAAUUAAUUUGAAUUGUGCUGCUGUUCUGCAAUGCAUUUAUGAACUACAAUUUUUCAACUCUCCUACAUCUAUCGAUCUUCAACCAACUUUUGUUUUUUCUUCUUCAAAGUAAUAUUUCAAAUAUGAAUCUCAGGUUUUUGUUGUUUCCCAUUAUUGUUAACUUUAGAUAUCUGAGCAGUUGAGUUUAGGUUGGAGUGUGAAAACUUUUAAUUUCAUUUUGUGAUGUUCUUUUUGUAAGUUUGUUUUUUCUUCCUGGGAUUGUUGUUUUAAUGACAUACAUUUAAAUAUUUAAUCUGCAAUCGAGUCGAUGUUUCGGA